This 498-nucleotide ribosomal RNA is filed under the name uncultured bacterium. RNAcentral's name for it is "bacterial SSU rRNA". It matches the Rfam family "Bacterial small subunit ribosomal RNA", at positions 30 to 526 of the family's 1533-position model. The record is from RNAcentral.
AUUGAACGCUGGCGGCAGGCCUAACACAUGCAAGUCGAGCGAGAAAGGUCUUCGGACUGAGUACAGCGGCGGACGGGUGAGUAAAGCGUAGGAAUCUACCUGGUAGUGGGGGAUAACUUGGGGAAACUCAAACUAAUACCGCAUACGCCUACGGGGAAAGCGGGGACCGUUCGGGCCUCGCGCUAUCAGAUGAGCCUGCGUAGGAUUAGCUAGUUGGUGAGGUAAAGGCUCACCAAGGCGACGAUCCUUAGCUGGUCUGAGAGGAUGAUCAGCCACACUGGGACUGAGACACGGCCCAGACUCCUACGGGAGGCAGCAGUGGGGAAUAUUGCGCAAUGGGCGAAAGCCUGACGCAGCCAUGCCGCGUGUGUGAAGAAGGCCUUAGGGUUGUAAAGCACUUUCAAUUGGGAAGAAAAGUUGGUCGUUAAUAGCGGCCAGCCCUGACAUUACCUUUAGAAGAAGGACCGGCUAACUCCGUGCCAGCAGCCGCGGUAAAGU